UAUCAGGCCGGCCCAAGACAUCUAGCUACGCCACACCCAGGGUUCUCAGCAGUGAUUAACAUUAAGAUAAACGUCAGUUUAACUUAGUUAGCGAAUAAAGAGUCGGCUAAUCUGGUGCCAGCCGCCGCGGUUACACCAGAGACCCAAAUUGAUUCGGCGUAAAGCGUGAUUAAAGGGUCAAAACUAAAUUAAACUGUCGCACGAUUAUUAUUGAAAAGCCCUCCUCAAAAGACACCCCAACCCACCAACUUGAACUCACAACAACUAGGACUCAAACUGGGAUUAGAUACCCCACUAUGCCUAGUCAUAAACUUUAAUUUACCGCCAGGGAACUACGAGCAAAGCUUAAAACCCAAAGGACUUGACGGUGCCCCACAUCCCCCUAGAGGAGCCUGUCCUAUAAUCGAUACUCCCCGUUCAACCUCACCACUCUUAGCUCAGCCUGUAUACUUCCGUCAUCAGUUUACCGCGUGAGCGUAGUAAACUAAAUGUUCCCGUCAAUACGUCAGGUCAAAGUGCAGCAUAUAGUGUGGCAAGAGAUGGGCUACACUUUCUAUAGAAAACACGAAAAUUAUGUGAAAUACUCAGAAGGCGGAUUUAGCAGUAAGAGAUUAGAGUACCCCUCUUAACGGCACUGGGGUGUGUACACACCGCCCGUCACCCUCC
RNAcentral lists this ribosomal RNA (666 nucleotides) under Pristimantis librarius. RNAcentral describes it as "partial 12S ribosomal RNA". It matches the Rfam family "Bacterial small subunit ribosomal RNA", at positions 359 to 1405 of the family's 1533-position model. The record is from RNAcentral. Lineage: Eukaryota; Metazoa; Chordata; Amphibia; Anura; Strabomantidae.